This 253-nucleotide ribosomal RNA is filed under the name uncultured bacterium. RNAcentral describes it as "partial 16S ribosomal RNA". It matches the Rfam family "Bacterial small subunit ribosomal RNA", at positions 524 to 776 of the family's 1533-position model. The record is from RNAcentral.
UACGUAGGGGGCAAGCGUUGUCCGGAUUUAUUGGGCGUAAAGAGCGUGUAGGCGGCUUUACAGGUCCGUUGUGAAAACUCGAGGCUCAACCUCGAGACGCCGGUGGAAACCGUAAAGCUAGAGUCCGGAAGAGGAGAGUGGAAUUCCUGGUGUAGCGGUGAAAUGCGCAGAUAUCAGGAGGAACACCCGUGGCGAAAGCGGCUCUCUGGGACGGUACUGACGCUGAGGCACGAAAGCGUGGGGAGCAAACAGG